Molecule: long non-coding RNA, 1474 nt
Organism: Chlorocebus sabaeus (green monkey)
Lineage: Eukaryota; Metazoa; Chordata; Mammalia; Primates; Cercopithecidae
Source: RefSeq, a predicted model, not a curated record
UGGAGAAGUUGGAAUAGGAUGGAAGAGGCGCGGGCUGUGGGUGGCGGGAGGCUCUCUGGGGGGCGAGGUGGUGGUUUACAGCUGGGCUGCCAAGGAAUUUGGAAACUAACAGCAGCAUAAGGUCUGGAUGAUUCAUUGCUGCAGCGAAGCUUCUGGGGUUCAAAGAAGGAAGAUCUAGAGGACUGGAGACUGCAGAAAACCCUUCAAGGAGCAGCGUGCGGUUUGAAAAGCUAGCAAGCAGCGGAUGAGGAAACUGAGUCACAGAGAAAUUUAAAUCACCAGCAUAACGUAACAUAGCUGACUGACAUAGAAGAGCCAGUGUGACUGCAGUGUGUGUGCACUAAACUACCACUUCCUACUGUUUCUCUGAAAUAAUCAAGGCCAUGAUAUAUGGAGGCUUCAGAAAUGAAGACCAAAGACCCGGGGAAAAUAGUGUGUGUUUAUGCUGAGUCUGAAGAAAGAAAUGGAUAGUUGUGGAGAAACAUGAUUAGAGGAAAAGGGGUAUGAUCUGAUGGAAAUAAACUGGGAGAGAACUCAGGAAGACCUAUUUUUUCAGGUUCUUUUGUGUGUGUGUGCCUCUAUAUGAUUUUCCUUCAACCUCCUCCCCCACCAUUUCCCAGGUGUGGUGCAGAACAUCUGUCGCAUGAGGGUCUUAUGACCUAAUUUUAGAGGAGAUAGGUCAGAGAAUUAUUUUGUAGACAGUGCUCACACAGAAAGGCCAGAGAAGGUCAGAGUGACCUCUGGUGGCUGACGCUGGAGGAUCACCUGGACCCAGGAGAGUGAUAGCCAAGGUACCAUGUUUUGGGGUACUGUGUCCUGCACCCUGUCAUGCACUAGAUACGUGGCAGGCACUGUGCUGAGCACACUGUUGGAUUGUCUCACUUAAGCCCCAAAAUGGCCCUGCGAGACGACUAUUAUUAUUUUCCUUCUUUGACAAAUGGGGAAGUGUCCAGGCAUGGCUUAGCUGCGUUCUCCACCCAAGGACUCUCAAGGCUGCAUUCAAGGUGUUGGCUAGACUGUGGUCUCAUCUGGAACUUUGACUGGAAAAUGUGCUUCCAAAUUAAUUCAAGUUGUUGGCAGAAUUCAUUUCCUCAUGGGUAUAGGACCAAGGGUUCCAGCUUCUUGCUGGGUGUCAAUUGAAAGUGGAUCCUUUCCACGUGGGCUUUCCCAAGGUAUCAGUCGGGGUCCUCCAGAGAAACAGUAGGAUGCAAACAUACAAACACACCAAUACAUUUAUUCCAAGGAACUAGUGUAUGCAAUUAAUUGUAGGGGCCGGCAAGUCUGAAAUCCACAGGAGACUGGCAGGCUGGAAACUCUCAGGCAGGAGCUGAUGCUGGAGUCUUGCGGCAGAACUUCCUCUUCUCUUUCUCAGGGAAGCUUUAGUUUUGUGCUUUAGUCCUUUCAACUGAUUGGAUGAGGCCCAUCUCCAUUGUUGAGAAUAAUCUGUUUUAUUUGUUUUGUUUUUUUUUUUGAG